Molecule: ribosomal RNA, 292 nt
Filed under: uncultured bacterium
Lineage: Bacteria
Description: partial 16S ribosomal RNA
Source: RNAcentral
GGACUACCGGGGUAUCUAAUCCCGUUCGCUCCCCUAGCUUUCGUCCCUCAGCGUCAGGAACCCUCCAGGACAUUGCCUUCGCCUUUGGUGUUCUUCCGGAUAUCUACGCAUUUCACCACUCCACCCGGAGUUCCAUGUCCCUCUCUGGCCCUCAAGUCUACCCGUUUCGUCAACGCUCUCCCAGUUAAGCCAGGAGCUGUCAUCCACGACGCGCUAGACCGCCUGCGGACCCUUUACGCCCAGUAACUCCGGACAACGCUCGCCCCCUACGUAUUACCGCGGCUGCUGGCAC